AGGGCGGUAGCUCAGUGGUCAGAGCAGGGGACUCAUAAUCCCUGGGUCGUGGGUUCGAUCCCCACCCGCCCUA
This 73-nucleotide transfer RNA is filed under the name Acidimicrobiia bacterium. RNAcentral describes it as "tRNA-Ile". It matches the Rfam family "tRNA". From Rfam's summary of the family: Transfer RNA (tRNA) molecules are approximately 80 nucleotides in length. Their secondary structure includes four short double-helical elements and three loops (D, anti-codon, and T loops). Lineage: Bacteria; Bacillati; Actinomycetota; Acidimicrobiia. RNAcentral also lists the same sequence under 2 other names. The record is from RNAcentral.